GAGUGUUUGUCCUGCAUGUUCCCAUGGCACAAAGUGUUCAACUCCAGCAAUACCAUUACUCUAUAUUCAAUCUGCUUGCCUGCCUCCUCUAGUUUGUGAGCUAUAUGAGGGCAAGGAUAGGGUCUUAUAUCUAUACCCCACACUGUAUCCCUCUAACACAUAGCAAAUAUUAAUGAUUGUAAUUUGGGGCAUGCUGGGCAGCCCCAGCCUCAGAAAGCCAGCUUUCCCCAUUCUUUCUUAAACCCAGAAGAUCUACUGAGGGAAUAAGUCCUUGUUGUUCUUUACAAACAGAUAAACUUAUUCUGAACCAGAUCACCCUAGCCAUAUCUGAUUAGGUCAAAAAUGGCCACCUGACCCAAGGGCAGUCAAUUUCUAUACUUGAGAGCAGCCAAUGAUAGGAGAACUCUGUCCAAGACCAAUAAUUCUCAUUAAUUAAAACCAGGUAGGGUCUCUGUUGAGAAUUUGACUUCAAUACACAGAGAAAGUCAUUAGCUAGUAAUGAUGGGCAAAAGUUAAGAUACAGAUGGAAAAGCAAACAACAGAUGCCAUGAGGUAAAAGCAGUCAUGAUGAGUUCUAGUAAACAAAAACCGGAUAGAAGAAAAGAGGGGUGAGAUAACAUUUUUAGAUGUGGAAGUAAUGAAUUCUUGCUUCUGGUGGAUAAAAAGAUAACUUGUUCAGUAUAGGCUCCUCGUAUUCUGAGUAGCCAAGAAUACAUAUUCCUUUAACCAAAUAUGAACCAAGCACCUACCAUGUGCUAAAUAUGACAUGAGUUUUAGUGGUGAACAAGACAAAUCUAUUUUGUUCCCAUGGAACUUUGAAUCUGCUUAGCUUAGAAUCUAGACAUAGAAGACAUAUUGAAUAAGUAAAAAUUAUUGCGAUAAGUAUUAUAAAGGAGUAACGGUAGGCUUUCAUAGAAAUAUAUGCAAUCUUGAAUUAUACUUUCCAUUGAACUAUUUUUCAUAAGAUGCUUAAUUGUACAGACUUUCUUGAAUUAUUAAAGGGCCUAACUCACACAUCAGACUCCUGUCAUCCUUAUUUUCAUACAAAUUGGCUCCUACACACAAGGGGGAUAUCAUAAAAUCUAAAUAAAUGCUUUAUUUAUAAAACAUAGCACUAACUCAGAUACAGUUAAAUGCAACUCCUUCUACCACUACAAGUUAACAUUUAUUAAUACAUGGUGUUUCCAAUGUGCCAGGUAUUUUUCAAAGUGCUUUAUAAUACCAAUUCAUGUUCAUCAUCACAACAAAGUCUAUAUAAUAAGAACAAUUAUUAUUAGUCUCAUUUUACACAUGAGAAAACUGAGGCAGAGAGAGGUUAUAUAACUUGCCCAAGGUCAACAGCCAUAAGUCGCUGAACCAGGAUUUGGACCCAAGCAGUUGUCCUAGAGUCCAAAUUCAAUUUUACUUGAUGUGGUUAUGUAGGUAAAUUUUCAUUCGAAAUAUCGUCCAUCAAAAUAUAUAUUAAGCAUGUCUUAUAUGCAGGCACUAUGUGCCAGGUGCUGAUCUAGGUGUUACAGCUACAACAAAGAACAAGACAGACAAAAAUCCCUGUCAUCAUGGAAGGGAUACAGAUAAUAAACAAGAGAAUGAAGUAAAAUAUAUAGUACAUUAGAUGAUAUAAGCGCUAUUGAGAAAAAUAAAACCAGAAAGAGGGAUGUGGAGUGUCAGAGGUGAGAUCAUGGGUGCAGUUUUAAAUAGGGAGUAAGAUAGCACUGAAUAGGUAACAUUUGAGCAACACUUGAAGGGAGUGAGAGAAUGAGCCAUUCUAAGUAUGUUUUAGUCAGAGGCCUGGAUUUGGAUCCUUGAGCCAGUGACAGUCUUAAAGAGCCUUGGAAUUACACUGAGUGUUUCUGGGCUCUGUAAUAUAGUGAGCCUAGGGCUGGAUACAGUAGCUCACACCUGCAAUCCCAGCUACUCAGGAGGUUGAGGCAGGAGGAUCCCUUGAGCCCAGGAGGUCAAGGCUGCAGUGAGCCAUGAUCACGCCACUGCACUCCAGGCUGGAAGAGACUGUGUCUCAAAAAAAUAAAUAAAGAGCCUAAUUAGCAUAGCCUAUGGGGGCUCAAAGUUGCUAGCUAAGGAAGAACAGAGUAAUGUAACAAAAUAAGCAUUAUGAAACAAACAAUAGACUCCUUCUAUGUUUUGAAUUGGAAUUUCUGAAGGAUUAUUUUGUGAGGUAACAAUACUGAAAACCUUAUGAACUCUAUUCUUCCCAGUUUCUAGCUGUUAUAAAAACAACACAUGAUUGAUAUAUUUAGUCGGCCUGGGUUACAAAUUGAUGAAGUCAUUCUCACACCAGGGAGAGUAGCCCUGUCUUCCUGUGGGGGUCAUUUUACUCAUUCCCUUAGGUUCCUAGGGAGUACCCUUAAUCCCCAGGCAAGAGUCACUCUAUGAAAAUAAAGUUGUUUAUGAAAUUUAGUGUGCCUGGGAAUGAUGAAGAAACAGAGAGAAACACCACAGCUGCACUAUGCCUACAUUCUAUAACUCUGACCACUAACAAACCAUGAGCCUGUAUCCCUCUUAAGUUGAUUUAGGUUAGCUUUUUGGUGUCAUCUUUUACCUCCUAUGCCUCAUGCUUUUCAAAAUCAAGUAACAUUUCCCCAACUUUGAGGUACCUGUUGCAAUACUCCAAAAGCUUAAAUGAACAGAACUGCACCUUUAUGUGGCCCAUUUGCCAACAUAGAAAAUAGGGGGAAAAUAAACUUUUUCUUUUGAACUCUGAGAAUACUCUAAAUUUGUCAUUUAUUUUUUAAGCAGGGAACAUCUUUUCAAAAGAAAUCCUCAUGGAAGCCUAACAAUGCCUACACUGUCAACUCUACUUUCUGCACCUAGAAGAGGGUACACUAGCUCAUUCUUAAUGCAAUACUACUUGAGGUUUUCCACUUUAAUAUUCCUUUCAGGGAGUAAAGAAUGGCACAACCUGAAGUUGUCACAAGAAGCGAUUAUCUGAAGCACCUGGACUUGUUCAAUCAGAUCUGAGAACAAAGUACUGGACUAGAUGGUGUCCUCAAAGUCUUACCAUAGGUCCUGGAAUAUUGGGGUUUAGCUGGCAGCAGAACCUCCUCCUUUCACAUCUAUCGCUACCUUUUGGCUAUCAGCUGGAACAUGGGGGCCAAAAGGGCUUAGGUGUCCUCUACCUCACAGACCCAGUGUCUUCUAAGCUUUUCUACUUUAAUUUUCUCAGCACUUGAAAAAUUCACCUUUUAAGACCUUAAAGAGCCCCACUUAAGACAUAAAGGCAAGGGCCAGGUGUGGUGGCUCACACCUGAAAUCCCAGUGCUUUGGGAGGCCAGGUGAAAGGAUCACAUGAGGCCAAGAGUUUGAGACCAGCCUGGGCAACAGUGAGACUCUGUCUCUCCCUCUCUCUAUACAUAAAAAUACAUAAAGAGAAUUAUUUACUUAAGAACUGCUACCCUGACUGCUUCCAGAGAGUCCAACUUAAUAAACUACAGGAAUUAUCUGUAAUUUAUUCUACAGAUUUAGUCCCCUAAUGAAGACCAAUGUGACUUUUUGUUGUGGGGAAGGUGAAGACUGUCAAGUAUUAAUAUUCUUUUUGAGGGGGGUUCUUUUAAGGUGGUUAAGAUACAUAUAAUAUACAAUUUGCCAUUUUAACUAUGUUAUAUAUACAAUUCAGUGACUAUUAAUUAUAUUCACAAUAUUGUGUAAUCAUCACUACCAUCUAUUUCCAAAACUUUUUCAUAACCACAAUCAGAAACUUUCCAUUAAGCAGUAACACCUAAUUCCCCCAUCUCCCAAGCCCCUGAAAAAUCAAAUAUUUUCUCCCAUUCUAUAGAUUGUCUUUUUACUUGUGUCUGGCUUAUUUCAUUUAGUGUUUUUUCAAACAUUAUUUUAAAACACUUAGCAUUAUUUCAAGAAUCAUCAUGUUGUAGCACAUAUCAGAACUUCAUUCCUUUUCAUAGCUGAGUAAUAAUUAAAGAUAUGUAUAACUACAUUUUGUUUAUCCAUUUAUGGACAAUUGAGUUGUUUCUACUUUUUGGCUAUGGUUAAUAGCGCUACGAUGAAACAGCACACUUGGUGUAUACUUGGUGUACAAGUAUCUGAGUCUUUAAAUUAUUUGGGAUAUAUACCUAGAAGCAGGAUUGCUAGGUCAUAUGGUUCUUCUUUAACUUUUUGAGGAAUCUCUAAACUACCUUCCAUAAUGGCUCCAUUAUUUUACAUUCCCACUAGCAAUGUUAAAGGAUUUAAGUUUUUCCAUAUCCUUGCCAACACUUGUUAUUUUCUGUAUUAUUAUUAUAUUAUUAUUGCCAUCCUAGUAGAUGUGAAAUGGUAUCUCAUUGUGAUUUUGAUUUGCAUUUCCCUAAUAACUAAUGGUGUAGAGCAUAUUUUCAACUGCAUGUUGGCUAUUUGUAUAUCUUCUUUUGAGAAAUGUCUGUUCAAGUCCUUUGAUCAGUACUUUUUUUAACUGGGUUCUUUUUGUUGUGGGGUUGUAGAAGUUCUUUAUAUAUUCUGUAUGUUAAAUCUUUAUCAGAUAUAUGAUUUACAAAUAUUUUCUUCCAUUCUGUAAAUUGUCUUUUUACUUUCUUUACAAUGUUCUUUGAUGCCCAAAAGUUUUUAAUUUUGAUGAAAUCCAA
RNAcentral lists this long non-coding RNA (4589 nucleotides) under Homo sapiens (human). Its description in RNAcentral is "HSALNT0076855". Lineage: Eukaryota; Metazoa; Chordata; Mammalia; Primates; Hominidae. The record is from RNAcentral.